UACAGAGGGUGCAAGCGUUGUUCGGAAUCAUUGGGCGUAAAGGGCGUGUAGGCGGUCUGUUAAGUCAUGUGUGAAAUCCCUCGGCUUAACCGGGGAACUGCGUCUGAUACUGGUUGGCUUGAAUCCGGGAGAGGGAUGUGGAAUUCCAGGUGUAGCGGUGAAAUGCGUAGAUAUCUGGAGGAACACCGGUGGCGAAGGCGGCAUCCUGGACCGGUAUUGACGCUGAGGAGCGAAAGCGUGGGGAGCGAACAGG
RNAcentral lists this ribosomal RNA (253 nucleotides) under uncultured bacterium. RNAcentral describes it as "partial 16S ribosomal RNA". It matches the Rfam family "Bacterial small subunit ribosomal RNA", at positions 524 to 776 of the family's 1533-position model. The record is from RNAcentral.